CUCAUCAGUUAACUAUGCAAGCCAAAAUAAAACAUGUUAUUUCAUACAGGACAACAAAUAAACAUGGUUUUUUACAUGUCUUUUUAUAUAGAACACAAAAAGCACAAACUACAAGAGUAUAAUUGAUAAACAGGACUUCUUCAAAAUUAAAAUUUCCUAUUUGAAAGACACCAUUUUAAAAAAUUAAAAUAGGGCCAGGUGCGAUGGCUCACACCUGUAAUCCCAGCACAGAGGUCAGGAGUUUGAGACUAGCCUGGCCAACAUGGUGAAACCCCAUCUCUACUAAAAAUACACACACACACAAAAUUAGCCAGGCAUGGUGACAUGCACCUGUAAUCCCAGCUAUUCGGGAGGCUGAGACAGGAGGACUGCAUGAACCCAGGAGGCAGAGGUUGCAGUGAGCCAAGAUCGCACCAUUGCACUCCAGCCUGGGUGACAGAGCGAGACUCGGUCUCAAAAAUAAAAUAUAAAAUAAAAUAAAAUAAAAAUAGGAGCCACAUACUGUAAUACCCAACCCUAAUAAAAGACUUGUAUCCAGAACAUCUAAAGAAGGCUUAAAACGCAACAAGACAAACAAUGCAAUAAUACAACAAAAACAGAUGAGAGACUUGAGCUGGUAUUUCACCAACACAGAUACAUAAGUGAAGUGUGCAGCAUCAGUCCUCGGGCAACACAAAUUAAAGACACCAUGAGUUACCACUACACAACCAACAGAAUGAAGAUAAAAACACUGAAAAUAACCAUUGUAAGGGAGGAUGAUAGGAAUAUAAAAUGUUACAACAACUAUGGAAAACAGUUUGUGAGAUUUGUUUAAAAGUUAAAUGUAGACUUAACAUAUUAACCAGAACUUCCACUCCAAGAAACUGACCCAGUGAAACAAGCCCACACAGACUUGUAUACAUGAAGGUUCCUAGCAACUUUAUCUGCAAUAGCCAAAGGACCAUCAAUAAACAGCCAAAGGGGAAUCAAUAGGUGAGUGGGUAAAUAGCCAAACAACCAUCAACAGGUGAAUGGAUAAACAGCCAAAUGACCCUCAAUAGGUGAAUGGCUAAGCCACCACAGUGUGGAUGAACCUCAAGACUGUGGCAGUGUGGGGCCAGGUCCCAGCAGCCGUUGUAACAAACGACGCUCAAUAGGUGAAUGGCUAAGCCACCACAAUGUGGAUGAAUCUCAAGACUGGACAGUGUGGGGCCAGGUCCCAGCAGCCGUUGUCAGGGCAGCCUAGGAGGCUGUCAGCACCACUGCUACCAGAACAGCUCUCAGAAAGAAAAGACCAGAGUAACAGUGUUUGCCUUUAGGCUGAGCUACUUGGUGUCUGUGCUGCUCACGUUCACAGCCACAGGACCCAUCCCAAUACCCAUAGAGGCAACAUGAAGGUUGGACCCAGAGACUGCUGUGGGCCCUGCCCUGGGCUCUCCACUCAGGGAGUAUCACAGCACCUCACUCCUGGCCAUAAAGGUAAUACUUUCUCUUUUUUUUUUUUGAGACAGAGUCUUGCUCUGUCGCCCAGGCUGGGGUGCAGUGACGCGACGUCAGCUCACUGCAACCUCUGCUUCCUGAGUAGCUGGGAUUACAGGCAUUCACCACCACACCCAGCUAAUUUUGUAUUUUUGGUAGAGACGGGGUUUCACCAUGUUGUCUAGGCUGGUCUUGAACUCCUGACCUCAAGUGAUCUAUCUGCCUGCCUCAGCCUCCCAAAGUGC
Molecule: long non-coding RNA, 1703 nt
Filed under: Homo sapiens (human)
Lineage: Eukaryota; Metazoa; Chordata; Mammalia; Primates; Hominidae
Description: HSALNT0131708
Source: RNAcentral